This 525-nucleotide ribosomal RNA is filed under the name uncultured bacterium. Its description in RNAcentral is "bacterial SSU rRNA". It matches the Rfam family "Bacterial small subunit ribosomal RNA", at positions 8 to 525 of the family's 1533-position model. The record is from RNAcentral.
AGAGUUUGAUCCUGGCUCAGAUUGAACGCUGGCGGCAGGCUUAACACAUGCAAGUCGAGCGGGGAAAAGUAGCUUGCUACUUAACUUAGCGGCGGACGGGUGAGUAAUACUUAGGAAUCUGCCUAUUAGUGGGGGACAACAUUUCGAAAGGAAUGCUAAUACCGCAUACGCCCUACGGGGGAAAGCAGGGGAUCACUUGUGACCUUGCGCUAAUAGAUGAGCCUAAGUCGGAUUAGCUAGUUGGUGGGGUAAAGGCCUACCAAGGCGACGAUCUGUAGCGGGUCUGAGAGGAUGAUCCGCCACACUGGGACUGAGACACGGCCCAGACUCCUACGGGAGGCAGCAGUGGGGAAUAUUGGACAAUGGGGGGAACCCUGAUCCAGCCAUGCCGCGUGUGUGAAGAAGGCCUUUUGGUUGUAAAGCACUUUAAGCGAGGAGGAGGCUCUUCUAGUUAAUACCUAGGAUGAGUGGACGUUACUCGCAGAAUAAGCACCGGCUAACUCUGUGCCAGCAGCCGCGGUAAUA